UUCAUGGUCACACCGGUUGUUCCAGAACCUCAGGACAAACCUGACCCCUCGCCUUUUGGUGAGUUUCAAUAUCUUAUGCAAACGGUUUGCCUCUCCGCGGCCAACAGACCCACGAGAUCCCUGACCCCCUGAUUCAUGAGGCCACCUCUGAGAUGUGGUGAAUGUUGGACAGGGUGAGCUGCGCCUCCCGCGCUGGGUAGAAACGUCUGGAUCGAAGCCACAGCCUCCCAAACACUCCAGUGAUCAGCAGCAAGACAACCAGCAGUCCUCCGAGGACAAAGGUCUCCACAGGAGGGACUCCACCUGCAUCUACGUAGAAAAGGACACAGGGUAUACCUGUCCCGGAUGAAGGUGUACUGAAUAUUGCUGUAUGGAUCACUGGUUGGUGUAGCCCAGCAUCUCUCCAUACGCAGCAUCAGUUGAGCCGGUAUC
This is a long non-coding RNA of Etheostoma cragini (Arkansas darter), 432 nucleotides long. RefSeq lists it as uncharacterized. NCBI's taxonomy places the organism in Eukaryota, Metazoa, Chordata, Actinopteri, Perciformes, Percidae. The transcript has 3 exons. The record is from RefSeq and is a predicted model, not a curated record.